CAAGUCAGAUGUGAGAUCCCGGGGCUCAACCCCGGAACUGCAUUUGAAACUGUAGCCCUUGAGUAUCGGAGAGGCAAGCGGAAUUCCUAGUGUAGCGGUGAAAUGCGUAGAUAUUAGGAGGAACACCAGUGGCGAAGGCGGCUUGCUGGACGACAACUGACGCUGAGGCGCGAAAGCGUGGGGAGCAAACAGGAUUAGAUACCCUGGUAGUCCACGCUGUAAACGAUGAAUACUAGGUGUGGGAGGACUGACCCCUUCCGUGCCGCAGUUAACACAAUAAGUAUUCCACCUGGGGAGUACGACCGCAAGGUUGAAACUCAAAGGAAUUGACGGGGGCCCGCACAAGCAGUGGAUUAUGUGGUUUAAUUCGACGCAACGCGAAGAACCUUACCAGGAUUUGACAUCCAACUAACGAAGUAGAGAUACAUUAGGUGCCCUUCGGGGAAAGUUGAGACAGGUGGUGCAUGGUUGUCGUCAGCUCGUGUCGUGAGAUGUUGGGUUAAGUCCCGCAACGAGCGCAACCCCUAUUGUUAGUUGCUACGCAAGAGCACUCUAGCGAGACUGCCGUUGACAAAACGGAGGAAGGCGGGGACGACGUCAAAUCAUCAUGCCCUUUAUGUCCUGGGCUACACACGUAAUACAAUGGCCGUCAACAAAGGGAAGCAAGAUCGCGAGAUGGAGCAAAUCCCCAAAAACGGUCUCAGUUCGGAUUGCAGGCUGCAACUCGCCUGCAUGAAGCUGGAAUUGCU
This 749-nucleotide ribosomal RNA is filed under the name uncultured Bacillota bacterium. RNAcentral's name for it is "bacterial SSU rRNA". It matches the Rfam family "Bacterial small subunit ribosomal RNA", at positions 584 to 1336 of the family's 1533-position model. The record is from RNAcentral. Lineage: Bacteria; Bacillati; Bacillota.